Molecule: ribosomal RNA, 489 nt
Filed under: uncultured bacterium
Lineage: Bacteria
Description: partial 16S ribosomal RNA
Rfam family: Bacterial small subunit ribosomal RNA
Source: RNAcentral
GAUGAACGCUAGCGGCAGGCUUAAUACAUGCAAGUCGUGGGGCAGCAGGACUGUAGCAAUACAGUUGCUGGCGACCGGCAAACGGGUGCGGAACACGUACGCAACUUACCCUGAACUGGGGGAUAGCCCGGGGAAACCCAGAUUAAUACCCCGUAAUAUAAUGGAGUGGCAUCACUUUAUUAUUAAAGCUCCGGCGGUUCGGGAUGGGCGUGCGGCUGAUUAGGUAGUUGGUUGAGGUAACGGCUCACCAAGCCUACGAUCAGUAACUGGUGUGAGAGCACGACCAGUCACACGGGCACUGAGACACGGGCCCGACUCCUACGGGAGGCAGCAGUAAGGAAUAUUGGGCAAUGGAGGCAACUCUGACCCAGCCAUGCCGCGUGGAGGAUGAAGGCCCUCUGGGUUGUAAACUUCUUUUAUGGGGGACGAAACCUGUGUAUUCUUACGCAGUUGACGGUACCCUAGGAAUAAGCACCGGCUAACUCCGUG